This 90-nucleotide small RNA is filed under the name Arabidopsis thaliana (thale cress). Its description in RNAcentral is "ATSL270470". The record is from RNAcentral. Lineage: Eukaryota; Viridiplantae; Streptophyta; Magnoliopsida; Brassicales; Brassicaceae.
ACGGACUUUAGCUACACCACAAAGCUUUGAGAAGCAAGAAGAAGCUUGGUUAGUGUUUUGGAGUCAAGUAUUACUAGAUGUCCUGUGUAU